GUUAAAGGGUGAUGGCGUGCCUUUUGUAGAAUGAACCGGCGAGUUACGAUCCCGUGCAAGGUUAAGCAGAAGAUGCGGAGCCGCAGCGAAAGCGAGUCUGAAUAGGGCGCAUGAGUACGUGGUCGUAGACCCGAAACCAGGUGAUCUACCCAUGUCCAGGGUGAAGUUCAGGUAACACUGAAUGGAGGCCCGAACCCACGCACGUUGAAAAGUGCGGGGAUGAGGUGUGGGUAGGGGUGAAAUGCCAAUCGAACCUGGAGAUAGCUGGUUCUCUCCGAAAUAGCUUUAGGGCUAGCCUCAAGGUAAGAGUCUCGGAGGUAGAGCACUGAUUGGACUAGGGGCCCCUACCGGGUUACCGAAUUCAGUCAAACUCCGAAUGCCGAUGACUUAUCCUUGGGAGUCAGACUGCGAGUGAUAAGAUCCGUAGUCGAAAGGGAAACAGCCCAGACCGCCAGCUAAGGUCCCAAAGUAUACGUUAAGUGGAAAAGGAUGUGGAGUUGCUUAGACAACCAGGAUGUUGGCUUAGAAGCAGCCACCAUUUAAAG
This 545-nucleotide ribosomal RNA is filed under the name Bacillus pumilus. RNAcentral's name for it is "partial 23S ribosomal RNA". It matches the Rfam family "Bacterial large subunit ribosomal RNA", at positions 585 to 1128 of the family's 2925-position model. Lineage: Bacteria; Bacillati; Bacillota; Bacilli; Caryophanales; Bacillaceae. The record is from RNAcentral.